AUGCAGGGGUAUUCAAGUAAAUCCACAGAUACUCAAACAAGAACUUCUGGCAAUCCUUUCCAAAAAAAAGGGGCUUCAACAAAUAAAAAUGUUCCUACUGCUGCCCUGCUGUCUGAGCCUGUUUCAACGCAAGAUGAGAGAAGCCAGUGUGAAACUUCAGAGAAUUCAGGGAAAGCAUUGUUUCACAAUUCAGCAUCCAGUCAAGAGGAGGUGAUGUGCAGGUUAACCUCCAGCAGAAAAACAGAAAUAAGUGAACAAGGAGAACUGGGAGAUAAACACGAAGCAGCACAGUUGGAAUGUACUGAAAGCCAAACAGAAUCUUCAAAAACUCCAUUACUCAGAAAAAGUAGUUCUGAAUUUGCAGAAGAACUGCAAAGGAAGAGAGGAGAGAUCCCAAACCCACAGACUGGGACCACAAAGCAAAGUCUGAAAGAAACAACUCCAUCUAAUAAGGAUGACAGGGAAUCUUGUUCCUUUCCCUCUAGAAGCACAUCAUCAUUUGUGCAGUAUGACAACAUAGCUGCUGAUGCUGUAGUUGUGGUAUGUUUGCUUCUGAAUGUCUUUGCAUUUUUGAGAUGUGAGAAACAAUGAAUUAGUCGCUUCAGGAGUGAGUAGGGGGGCACGUUGUGUUCAAGUUUUGAGAGAUUUAUCUGCUGCAGUGAAUGGUUUCAUGUUAGACUUGGUUUCUUCCUAGACUUGUGCAUGUCUGGGAAACUUAAAAGGGAAAUAAGUAGCCUUCUCUGUGCACGUCUAUCCGUAAGCAUUUUGGUUUCUCAGAAAGUUGUGGUCUUGGUAUCUGAGUUGGCAGCACAAGCAUCUAUAUAUGCUUAUACUUGCAUGCAAAUGCACUCUUAACGUUAAGAGCAGCCUUUUCUUUUUCUAUUAGGCUCCACAUAAUGAACCAUCUGAUAAACCUCCUCAUCGUGAUGAAGAUCGAGAGAAGGAAGAGGAGCCAACCAAAAUCUCAGAGUAUUUUUUCAGUGACAUCUUUAUGGAAGUAGAUGACCCAGAAUAGCAAAAUAGGCUUUAUAGAAAUGGUGGGAUCUUAGUGCAACUAAAUUAAAAGCUAUUAUUUUUUAGGAAAACAUUGUUUGUUUUAAUAUUAACUAUGCCAAAUUUAGCAUCAGUUACUGUUAGUAACUUCCAUCAGGAUGGAAUCAUUUUCUUCUAAAUGGAUGUUUUCAAAACGUUGACAUAAGCUAAACAACUACGUUGGUGUCAUUGGACCAGAACAGUGGCUGCAGGAUUAAUUUUCACUUGUUUGGAUUUUGAUAAUAAGUGCACAUUGUCUUCCAGAAAAGUGCAAUGCAAAAAAAUGCUUAUUCUUGUGACGAGCUGCUCCUUUGGAUUUAAUGCUGAAGACUGCGGUACUGAUUGUACAAGUUCUUUACUUCUUUUUGUGAAGUAUGCUGUAUUAGUAUGCUAUGAGGAAAAAAAUGAACCUUUUAUUUGCAGUGUAAUCUCUGUAGAUCAGGCUGCAAACAAGGAAAGUACCAUCAUAAAUGCAUAGUUCUGUUCAGCACUGCGGGUAUUUUUAUUAGCAUCUCCAAAUAUGUAUUUUUAUAUUUAAGAAGACUUGCAUAAGCUAAAAGACCCUAGCCUGAAAAGCCCAAUGACUUUAGCUCCUUUAAAAUGUACAGAGGAAAAACCUGAAUAGCAUUUCAUUUAUACAAUGAUAAUCCUUGGAACUGUCCCAUUGGAGUGAGAGGAAGAGGUUGAUGUUUCUCAGUAUAAAUGCCAGUUUCCUUCUGUUGUGAUUAGCAGGAAACUAAGCACCAGACAAAGUGGGAUGAAGGAGAACAGAAGUUGUGGGUUGAGAUAAAAACUAUUUACUAAGACAGAAAAGGAGAAUGAAGGCAAACGUGCGAUAACAUCAACAUCUCUACAGUGCAACUACUUCUCGCUCACCGACCAACACCCAGCUAACAAUACAGCUGCCUGCUGACUGAUGCCCUGCUACCAACUCAAGGUCUCACUACGUGCCAACUGCAAGCAGCAGCCCCUCCCCACAUCUUUACAGCCUUCUGCAUAACGCCGUGUGGUGUGGAAUAAACCCCCUUGCUUCGUUCA
Molecule: long non-coding RNA, 2070 nt
Filed under: Coturnix japonica (Japanese quail)
Lineage: Eukaryota; Metazoa; Chordata; Aves; Galliformes; Phasianidae
Description: lncRNA (ENSCJPG00005005995.1)
Source: RNAcentral